Molecule: ribosomal RNA, 617 nt
Filed under: uncultured bacterium
Lineage: Bacteria
Description: bacterial SSU rRNA
Rfam family: Bacterial small subunit ribosomal RNA (bases 1-523)
Source: RNAcentral
CCUACGGGAGGCAGCAGUGGGGAAUAUUGCACGAUGGGCGCAAGCCUGAUGCAGCAACGCCGCGUGAGGGACGACGGCCUUCGGGUUGUAAACCUCUUUUAGUAGGGAAGAAGCGAAAGUGACGGUACCUGCAGAAAAAGCACCGGCUAACUACGUGCCAGCAGCCGCGGUAAUACGUAGGGUGCAAGCGUUAUCCGGAAUUAUUGGGCGUAAAGAGCUCGUAGGCGGUUUGUCGCGUCUGCUGUGAAAACCUGGAGGCUCAACCUCCAGCCUGCAGUGGGUACGGGCAAACUAGAGUGCGGUAGGGGAGAUUGGAAUUCCUGGUGUAGCGGUGGAAUGCGCAGAUAUCAGGAGGAACACCGAUGGCGAAGGCAGAUCUCUGGGCCGUAACUGACGCUGAGGAGCGAAAGCAUGGGGAGCGAACAGGAUUAGAUACCCUGGUAGUCCAUGCCGUAAACGUUGGGCGCUAGAUGUGGGGACCCAUUCCACGGUUUCCGUGUCGCNGCUACGCAUAGCGCCCGCCGUCGGGNGGUACGGCCGCCGACGACGUAACCGUAACGAAACGAAGUAGUACGGCGUGAGACGUCGCCGACGGACGACGACGACGGGAGGUUAGG